AGGAACAUUGGAUAUCUAACUGGGAGUCAUGUGAGUGAAAACAUCCUAAGCUCAUCAAAGUCAGAAAUGGCUGUGAUUAUGUUGCAGCUUCAGGACGAUGGACAGCGUGAUGUUCUGUGGUGGUCGCUGCAGCAGGGAAGAGAGAGAGACAACAGGUAACAUUGAGACAUUCUCUAUAUCCGGAGAGCAGCAGCAGGAAGAUCACAGACCUAAGAGGUCUCACCACUUCCCACAUUGUAAAGAGAUUUUCCCAAGUCUUUCAAAGCUAAAAAUACACACACGAGAGAAGCCUUACUCUUGCUCUGACUGUGGAAAAUGCUUAAUAACAUCAUCUGACCUAACAGUUCACCAGAGAACAGAACACACACAGGAGAGAAGCCGGGUGGUGCAGUGGUCUAAGGUAGAGACUCUGGGUUCGAGACCAGGCUCUGUCGCAGCCGGCCAUGAUCGGGAGGUCUCUCCCGAGACCGUACCGGAGUUGUAGCGAUGAGACCAGAUAGUAACUACUAAACAUUUGGAUACUACGAAAUUGUGGAGAAAAAGGGGGUAAAAUUUAAAAAAUAUAUACUUUUUUUUUAAGCACAUGAACAUACAGGAGAAAAGCAUUUUUCCUGCUCUGACUGCGGGAAGAGUUUUUCUCAACGGAGCAUCUCAAAAUACACCAACGUUUACAUACAGGAGAGAAGCCUUACUCUUGCUCUGACUGUGGUAAAUACUUCCCAACAUCAUCUGCGCUAAAUGUUCAUCAGACCCUCCCUGAAUGCUUGAGGAAAAACAAGUGACUCUCCCCUCUUUCCAUAAUAAUAAUGAAAUAUAAAGUGGACAGCAGAGAACAUGCCUAUUGUUUACCCUCACUCCUAGAACAGACCAGAGCCUUAGAUACGCAGUUUUACAAACAGUUCUUCUUUUUGUAAGCGUCACAUGUCAAAGGUUGUGGAUUCCCAGAACACCGAAUAUAUUUUUUUAUUUCAGAACAGUGCAUGAUAAUGAAUGAGGCAUACUGCAGCACCCAAGACCUUUUGAUUUCUAUACAGGCUAUUGUUCAAAAAUAUUCUACAACGGGUUGGUCAAAACAAGCUUUGUGAUUGGUUGAGACGUGUUCUAAGCGAUUCAAAAAACAUUGUUUAGCACAGAUGAUGCAAAAAUGGGAAUCUUGUUUUCUGUUCUGUCUGACAGAUCCCUGCUCAUCCACUGGCCCAUCAGCCCAGCCAGCCAAUUAAUUAACUUGAUCUCCACUGUAAAAGGCAUCUAGACAUUAUUUCCCCUUGCUUCUAGCCUAACAUUUUUGUUUUGUUGUACAAACGUUGCUGUCUUUCUCUCAACAUUUGCAACAUCGUUUCAUUAUUGAAAUUCAAUAUGCACUAUCCUAUUGAGAAUUAACAUGUCAGGACAAGACUGACAUCUUGUCUCAGCCAGUUGAAAUUAUGAAUCCGCAAAAUCAUUAUGGAUAUAUACAAAGAAAUGUCCAUUUAAAACCAGGUCAAAGGAAAUUAAAAGUAGUUACUUUGCUGUUAUUCUAGCUGCAUGGUUUGAUGUGACUGUUAAUAGUAGUUGGCUAGCUAGCAGGCAAGGGAUAAGAGUGUUAUCAGUAUAAAUGUAUAGCUGGGGAGGUGACGCCCAUAAGGGAAGAGUAUAACAUGUGUUGUGAGCUUUCUAAAUGCAUGCACUCAGCUGACUGUAUCCUUGGUAUUAAACACUCUCUUAAACUUC
Oncorhynchus gorbuscha (pink salmon) is the source of this 1710-nucleotide long non-coding RNA. RefSeq lists it as uncharacterized. The record is from RefSeq and is a predicted model, not a curated record. Lineage: Eukaryota; Metazoa; Chordata; Actinopteri; Salmoniformes; Salmonidae. The transcript is spliced from 3 exons.